AAAAUCCUCAAAUCUCGAUCCACCACCAUUGCCAAUUCAUAUUUUCUCCCUAGGACAGCCUACCCCAACAUUGUCCUCCCAACUAGCACCAAAUCCCAUGCCCCCUCCACAGCCGCAAAAUCCCCAAGAACCACCACCACCAACCAGCCACACCGAUUCCCCUACCACCAAUAGCACAACAAAUCAACCAUCUCCUACACUUACCAUUGACCUGACCUCAUACCUAAACACCCAUACCAAUAAUCAAAACCAACACCCCAUGGUCAUAAGAUCCAAAACCGGCAGCUUAAAACCCAAAGCUCAUCAUACGCCACCCACCACUCUCACCACACCACCCACGUAUCAAGAGGCAGCACAACAAGAAAUUUGGCGACGAGCAAUGUUAGAGGAAAUAGAUGCCUUAAUGGCCAAUGGAACCUGGGAUUUAGUGCCAAGAUCACAAGCUACAAAUGUAAUUGGUUGCAAGUGGAUUUAUCAUAUCAAGACCAAACCGGAUGGAUCCGUUGAUCAUCACAAGGCCAGACUCGUAGCUAAAGGUUUCCAUCAACGACCUGGCAUUGAUUAUGUUGAGACUUUUAGUCCUGUCAUCAAACCAGCCACAGCUCGGCUCAUUCUCUCUAUUACUGUAAACUCUAACUGGCCUAUCCGUCAACUAGACAUCUCAAAUGCAUUCUUGCGCGGGACACUUGAAGAGCCAAUUUACAUGGAGCAGCCCUAAGGCUUUCUAGAUCGCACCAACUCAAAUCAUGUGUGUCUAUUAAAGAAGUCCCUAUAUGGUUUAAAACAAGCCCCACGGACCUAGUAUUUUUAUCUCUCACAGGCAUUACAAAAAAUUGGGUUCAAAGGAUCUAAAGUUUAUAGCUCUCUCUUUUUCUAUUCCUCUGGCAAAAACACUGCCUACUGUCUUGUAUAUGUUGAUGAUCUCAUUUUGACAGGUUCCACUGCUCCUCUUCUUCAUGAUAUCAUUAAACAACUUGGGUCAACUGUAGCACUUAAGAAUUUGGGUCCGCUCACAUAUUUUCUAGGCGUGGAGGUCACUUGGCUAAAGACUGGAUUUCAACUCUCCCAAUCCAAGUAUAUUUGGGAUCUUUUAAGGCGUGUAAAUAUGCAUGAGGCUACUUCUAUCUCCAUGCCAUCUUCUCCACAAGAAAUAGUAGAUAAUGAUUCUUCCAAUAACUUUGAAAAUCCUUCUUUAUUUCAGCAAGUAGUGGGCUCUCUACAAUAUUUAGCACUCACUCGACCCGACAUCACCAUGGCAGUCAAUAAAAUAGCUCAAUUCAUGCACUCACCCUCAGUCAAUCGUUGGCAAGCUGUGAAAUGCAUACUCUGAUAUUUAAGAGGAACAAUAGACCAUGGUCUUCUUCUCAAAUCUUCACAAUCUCCAUGUCUUUUUGCUUUCUCUAAUGCGGAUUAGGGAGGUGACAAACUUGAUCUCAAAAGCACCUCAGCUUAUGCCGUAUUCCAUGGUUCCAAUCUCAUCUCAUGGUGUUCGAAGAAACGGAAAACAGUGGCUCGGUCAAGCACUGAUUCAAAGUAUCGGGCUUGAGCAUCGACAGCCUCUGAAGUUUACUGGUUAAAAUGCCUUCUUCGAGAACUCCAGCAACUGCUUACUGCUAUACCAAAAAUCUAGUGUGAUAAUGUCUCGGCCACAUCUUUAACAGCUAACCCAAUCUUUCACUCUCAGUCCAAACACCUUAAACUUGAUUUUCAUUUCGUUAGAGAUCAAGUUCGACAUAAAAAUCUUCAGGUAUCUUACAUUCCCACUGCUGAUCAGAUUGCCAAUGUUUUAACCAAACCUCUAUCCAAACAACGGUUUCUUGACUUACAGGGCAAACUAAUGGUAGUUCCCCCCAUUCGUUUUGCGGGGGGUAUUAAGGAAAGUUAACAGCCAAUCUCCUAAAUUACAGUCAUUCAAUUAUACAAUCCCAUUUUAGAGGAAUUAUGUUGUAACGUUUUCAUUUAUACAGGGAUAUGAUUUUAGCAAGUUAAUCAUUGUAAUCCGUAUAUAAUUGGUGACAAUGGCAAUCAAAG
Molecule: unclassified non-coding RNA, 2031 nt
Filed under: Hevea brasiliensis (rubber tree)
Lineage: Eukaryota; Viridiplantae; Streptophyta; Magnoliopsida; Malpighiales; Euphorbiaceae
Source: RNAcentral